Molecule: ribosomal RNA, 600 nt
Filed under: uncultured archaeon
Lineage: Archaea
Description: bacterial SSU rRNA
Rfam family: Archaeal small subunit ribosomal RNA
Source: RNAcentral
UAUCAGGUAGUAGUGGGUGUAGCGUACCUACUAGCCUACGACGGGUACGGGUUGUGAGAGCAAGAGCCCGGAGAUGGAUUCUGAGACACGAAUCCAGGCCCUACGGGGUGCAGCAGGCGCGAAAACUUUACAAUGCCGGCAACGGCGAUAAGGGGACCUCGAGUGCCAGGUUACAAAUCUGGCUGUCGUGAUGCCUAAAAAGCAUUGCAUAGCAAGGGCCGGGCAAGACCGGUGCCAGCCGCCGCGGUAACACCGGCGGCUCGAGUGGUAACCGUUAUUAUUGGGUCUAAAGGGUCUGUAGCCGGCCGGAUAAGUCUCUUGAGAAAUCUGGCAGCUUAACUGUCAGGCUUUCAGGAGAUACUGUCUGGCUCGAGGCCGGGAGAGGUGAGAGGUACUUCAGGGGUAGGGGUGAAAUCUUGUAAUCCUUGAAGGACCACCAGUGGCGAAGGCGUCUCACCAGAACGGACCUGACGGCAAGGGACGAAAGCUAGGGGCACGAACCGGAUUAGAUACCCGGGUAGUCCUAGCCGUAAACGAUACUCGCUAGGUGUCGGCCACGGUGCGACCGUUGUCGGUGCCGUAGGGAAGCCGUGAAGCGAG